Molecule: small RNA, 971 nt
Filed under: uncultured Nakamurella sp.
Lineage: Bacteria; Bacillati; Actinomycetota; Actinomycetes; Nakamurellales; Nakamurellaceae
Description: bacterial SSU rRNA
Rfam family: Bacterial small subunit ribosomal RNA (bases 1-492)
Source: RNAcentral
AUGGCUGUCGUCAGCUCGUGUCGUGAGAUGUUGGGUUAAGUCCCGCAACGAGCGCAACCCUUGUCUUAUGUUGCCAGCGGGUUAUGCCGGGGACUCAUAAGAGACUGCCGGGGUCAACUCGGAGGAAGGUGGGGAUGACGUCAAAUCAUCAUGCCCCUUAUGUCUUGGGCUUCACGCAUGCUACAAUGGCCGGUACAAAGGGCUGCGAAACCGUGAGGUGGAGCGAAUCCCAAAAAGCCGGUCUCAGUUCGGAUUGGGGUCUGCAACUCGACCCCAUGAAGUCGGAGUCGCUAGUAAUCGCAGAUCAGCAACGCUGCGGUGAAUACGUUCCCGGGCCUUGUACACACCGCCCGUCACACCACGGGAGUGAGCAACACCCGAAGCCGGUGGCCUAACCCGCAAGGGAGGGAGCCGUCGAAGGUGGGGCUCGUGACUGGGGUGAAGUCGUAACAAGGUAGCCGUAGCGGAAGCUGCGGCUGGAUCACCUCCUUUCUAGGGAGCCCUCAACCAAGGGCACCGGUCGCCGUAGGAUCGUCGCUUGAGCUCUCGAGCUCCGCGGCGCUCUCCUCGAGCGCGGCCGGCCACUAGACAUGUCGACCGGACCUGAGUGACAGGUCGCACGUCGGGGUUUCAUACCCUGGCGAACGUGGCCCGCAUGCUGUUGAGUUUUGAGAGACCGGCGCGCUGCCGGGGGCUGGCUGGACUUCGGUCCCGGGUUCCCAAAGCGCGCUUUCGCCUCUUCGCGGACCUUGAAAACUGCACAGUAGCCAAUGUAACGGGUAUCACCGGGCGAGAGUCGGAGCUGGUAACAGCACCGGUCUCUCUCCCAAUAAGAUCACCGUCAAGAUAGUAAGGGCACACGGUGGAUGCCUUGGCACCAAGAGUCGAUGAAGGGCGUGAACGGCUGCGAUAAGCCGCGGUGAGGCGCUGAAUAGCCAGUGACCCGCGGAUGCCCGAAUGGGGAAACCCGG